AGGACGAACGCUGGCGGCGUGCCUAAUACAUGCAAGUCGAGCGAAUGAUAAGGAGCUUGCUCCUUGAUUUAGCGGCGGACGGGUGAGUAACACGUGGGUAACCUACCCUAUAGACUGGGAUAACUUCGGGAAACCGGAGCUAAUACCGGAUAAUACUUUUGAACACAUGUUCGAAAGUUGAAAGAUGGUUUCGGCUAUCACUAUAGGAUGGACCCGCGGCGCAUUAGCUAGUUGGUGGGGUAAUGGCUCACCAAGGCAACGAUGCGUAGCCGACCUGAGAGGGUGAUCGGCCACACUGGGACUGAGACACGGCCCAGACUCCUACGGGAGGCAGCAGUAGGGAAUCUUCCACAAUGGACGAAAGUCUGAUGGAGCAACGCCGCGUGAAGUGAAGAAGGAUUUCGGUUCGUAAAACUCUGUUGCAAGGGAAGAACAAGUAGCGUAGUAACUGGCGCUACCUUGACGGUACCUUGUUAGAAAGCCACGGCUAACUACGUGCCAGCAGCAGC
This 509-nucleotide ribosomal RNA is filed under the name uncultured bacterium. RNAcentral's name for it is "bacterial SSU rRNA". It matches the Rfam family "Bacterial small subunit ribosomal RNA", at positions 26 to 518 of the family's 1533-position model. The record is from RNAcentral.